This is a long non-coding RNA of Lepisosteus oculatus (spotted gar), 1996 nucleotides long. RefSeq lists it as uncharacterized. The record is from RefSeq and is a predicted model, not a curated record. Lineage: Eukaryota; Metazoa; Chordata; Actinopteri; Semionotiformes; Lepisosteidae.
GAGAUUUGAAAUUACAUUCCCUUAACGAGUCGCGUCGUGCUGAGCAAGCUCAGUGAAGAACAGUGCGCAAGAGCGGGCAACUGGAAAUCCAGCACGUACUCGCUGAACUGCGAGGAGUCCACCCCUCCGCCACAGGACGCGGCCACACUGAAGCCCUUCUGGAAGAGGCGUUCCAGCACCUGGGGGAGACGACAAGCACAGCGGUCAGCAUGAAAACGCAGAUAAAGCAGAAAUAAAUCAGCAGAAAUGAAAGGAAGAUCUAAGGAAGUCCAUGGACUGUUCGGGCCCUCACCUGCUCGGCCUGGCUUUCCCAUUCCAACGGAGGGAAAGGUUAUGAGCAUGUGGCUGGUGGGACCUGGCGGGGAGUGGAAACCUCAGAUCUUGUAUUUAUACCAGUAGUCCGCACAGCAGGCCCUCUGUAAGAUGUGAAGGCGAAAAUACGACAGAAAUGAAUCGGAUCCCACUUCAUGUGAAGAUUAUUUAAGCACAGCGAAAUCCGAGCUGAGCUGAGGACUGCCUACAUUAACCAGGUGUGGGAUUUGUUUUUUAAAACUCGGCUCUCUCGCAACGACGUCCUGUUUGGAAAGGAUUGGAGACGCACGGGUGGUGCUUCACCAUUGAUCCUGUCAGAGCCGUCGGCCAGCUGAUACGCUGAUCCUUCCCUGGCUCCUUACAGGAGAGUUAGCGCUGACUGGACGAGCAAUGCGUUUCUCAAGCCUGCAGGCGCCCAGCUCCUCACUGGAGUCCCUUUUAAUGGGAUACAGCCCAGGCCAAAUAAUUCCAACUCCUCCAGAUCACGGCUGGUAUCUGCAAUCCUCUCCCCCCCCUACACUUACUCUUCCUCGUAUGUGCCAUUUAAGAUGGGUGAUCUAUUUUAAGUUAAAGGGUGCUAAUACUUACUACUGAAUCUCUGAUCAAUGGGAAAUGUGAUUUGUGGAGUUGAAUAGAUACUUAUAGUGUUCUUUGGUGAAACAGACACCUUUCUCCUUUUACCCUACAAUCCAUUCAAGUUCUCUUUCUGGUGAAAGCAACUGAAAAAAUCUCUGCACCUGCUUUUAAUAUUAUUUAAUUCUGUCAAGGAAUUCUUCAGAAGUAGCACUGUUUCAAUAGUUUGGGAUGCUUACAUAGAGGAUUAAGAAUGUUUUUGGUUUUUUUUUAAUCACUCCUUUAAAAACAUUUUCCUCAACAUUUAACUAAAAAAAAACUCAAGAGCUUUAAAACCUGAUUACUUCAGGCCCAGUUAGUGAAAUAGUGAUAAAUACAUAAAGAAAAAAAGCUGAACCACAGGCUGUCUUGUAUAAACACUGCCAAACGCAGCACCAAAAUAACCAAAAGUUAUUUCAAAGCUAGUGAACUAAAAUUAAAUCGAGCUAGAAUGACAUUUCAACACCCAAGUUUCCUCCUUUGUCUUAGAGCAUAACGAAUUGAGAUUCUGGGAAUUAAUCAAUUAUAUUCUCAAGGACAAACCACAAGUAUAGAACUUUGAUCCGUGGUUGUAUUCACAUGAAAAUAACACAAAAGACUAUACAAACAGACAUAAAAAGCACUUGUUGGUACCGUUGUUCUUAUAAGAGAGCAGUUUGGAUUAAGUCCUGCUUUGUAUAGAUCUAGACACCACAUUGAACAAUAAAUAUCUGCAAUGAUAAAAGCUCUUCAGGACAGGAGGAUGGAUAACGUUAAAGAAGGACAAUCCAGGACCAACACACUCUCAAAAGGCCGCCAUAUAAAAGUUGUAAAUGUGAUGUUACAAUUUCUCUUUGCACUCACUGCCUGUAUACAGAAUAAACCAGAGAAAAUGGCGGCCUCUGUCUGUCGUCUUACCUGGAAAUGUUCCCGAUCCUACACUUCUCACAGUGCCCCCUGUAAGUAUUGACAGGACCGCCGUACAGAAUCAUAAGGGAGUCAACUGGCAAAGCAGCAGGGGCUUCCUAAUGCCGGAGCCUCUUAGUUUCAGGUCAAACUUGCUCUCUUGUUUUCAUAAUGGGAAGGUUAGCCC